This 254-nucleotide ribosomal RNA is filed under the name uncultured bacterium. Its description in RNAcentral is "partial 16S ribosomal RNA". It matches the Rfam family "Bacterial small subunit ribosomal RNA", at positions 524 to 776 of the family's 1533-position model. The record is from RNAcentral.
UACGUAGGGUGCGAGCGUUAAUCGGAAUUACUGGGCGUAAAGCGUGCGUAGGCGGUUCGUUAAGUCAGCUGUGAAAGCCCCGGGCUCAACCUGGGAACUGCGGUUGAAACUGGCGAACUAGAAUCUGGCAGAGGGGGGUGGAAUUCCACGUGUAGCAGGUGAAAUGCGUAGAGAUGUGGAGGAACACCGAUGGCGAAGGCAGCCCCCUGGGCUGAGAUUGACGCUCAGGCACGAAAGCGUGGGGAGCAAACAGG